Molecule: ribosomal RNA, 406 nt
Filed under: uncultured bacterium
Lineage: Bacteria
Description: partial 16S ribosomal RNA
Rfam family: Bacterial small subunit ribosomal RNA
Source: RNAcentral
AUUGAACGCUGGCGGCAGGCCUAACACAUGCAAGUCGAGCGAGCGGCGGACGGGUGAGUAAUGUCUGUGAAACUGCCUGAUGGGGGGGGAUAACUCCUGGAAACGGUAGCUAAUAUCGCAUACCAUCAGAUGUGCCCAGAUGGGAUUAGCUAGUUGGGGGGGUAAAGGCCUACCAAGGCGACGAUCAGUCGCGGGGCUGAGAGGAUGAUCCGCCACACUGGAACUGAGACACGGCCCAGACUCCUACGGGAGGCAGCAGUGGGGAAUAUUGGACAAUGGGCGAAAGCCUGAUCCAGCCAUGCCGCGUGUCUGAAGAAGGCCUUCGGGUUGUAAAGGACUUUUGUUAGGGAAGCGGUACCUAAAGAAUAAGCACCGGCUAACUACGUGCCAGCAGCCGCGGUAAUAC